This is a long non-coding RNA of Micropterus salmoides (largemouth bass), 3268 nucleotides long. RefSeq lists it as uncharacterized. The transcript has 4 exons. NCBI's taxonomy places the organism in Eukaryota, Metazoa, Chordata, Actinopteri, Centrarchiformes, Centrarchidae. The record is from RefSeq and is a predicted model, not a curated record.
AGAGAGCAGUAGACCGGUGUUGUGCCGAAUGUGUGCGUUUUUUGUGGAGGCAGCAACAAGCUGCAGAAGAAAGAAAAGUCUAAUUUAAUUAAUGUACAGAGACAGUUAGUAGCCUGGCUAGUUUAUAAUAAGUUUGUCACACUGCUACACAGUUUUGUGUGUUGUACUGUGUGUAGCUAAUGGUCUGCAGAUAGCAACAGGUUAGCACCAUCGCUAACAGCAAGCUAACGUGGUGCGAACACUGUGUGUGACCGGCUGUUAACGGUAUGCUUCGAGGGAGACAGUCCUGUGCCUGUUUUCACCUUCACCUUUCUGAGAGGAUUGCAUAACAUGAGAACAGCGGGAGUCAUCUGGAGGAUGCUGUGAAACUGGGCUCAAUGUUACUUGCGCCCAACAGGCGCCCCAGUUAGCAGCACAACAAACACUGCGGGGACGCGCCGAGUCAGCGGGCUGUCUGAAAAACUUCAGUCACCCAGAGGAAAAACCGCCGGACCGCCUUUCUCCUCACAUGAGGCCUCAGCUCUGUUUAGUCUCUAGACUAGAAGACCUCCGAGCAGUACAGCACCUGGCAGCUGUUCCUGGAGACCAUCAUCCCCAUCCUGCAGAACCUUAAAUAUAAAGGCCCAGUGAGGAGUUGGUGAAGAUGAGUCGUCCCUGACACCCCGAGGACCAGUUCACCACCAGCAUCCUGAGAUACUGGGCGUCCAAUCAGGAGAACACAUAAAGGCCCAGCUGAUCAGGAACAGCAACCAGCCCCGCAAGAGACAGAGGUGUGGACAGACUGGGACAGGUGAGGACAGACAGAUGAGGCCUGACAGGAGAGAGUCUUCACUCAGACCCCGAUCCUUCAGGCUCUGCAGCACAUUCAGGCCAGCGGUGACGAGGUCCAUGAGAUGAGGUAUGCGCUAGGGCUGCAACAAUUAGUUGACGUGAAAUUUCAUUGUGAGUGGUGCUAGCCAGCCGGCCAGUCUAACCCACAGAGCCCUCUGGUCCCAGUUAUUCAGACCACUGCAGCAGCAACAACAGAGCUACAGAGACCGAGGAAAGGCAGUGUUUCCCAUAUGUUCAUUUAUUUGUGGCGGCCCGCCACAAUAUCAACGCUGACCACCACAGAUUGAUUUUCGAUUGUUUUUUGUUUUUUUAAAUUGUAUUUGAUUGCAGAGCGCCUAGUGCAUUUGUGCAGCACAUCUUCUCGCUCAUCUCUCUCUUUCUCACUCACCUUUCUCGCUCUCGCUCUCUCUACCUCUCCCUCAUGAACACAGCUGCACAAAUCUUUCCAACACAACGCUGUCAAUGUUGGAGAUCUUAAAAAAGUUAUUAGCAAGCAUGUAAGGAGCCAAGCAUGUAAUAAGGAGAGCUAAGUUUUUGAGGUUAGCACACUGUAUAUAGGUGGUAGUCAAUAUCGACUGCACGCGCACCCCCCCCGCCCACCACAGUUACACUGUCAUUCUGUGGGAAACACUGCAAUAUCAACGCUGACCGCCUCAUACUGAUUUUCGUUUUUUAGAAAAUUUUACUAGGCCUAUUUAAAAUCUUAUUUGAUUGCAGGUCAGCACCGCAGCACAUUCGCGCAGCACAUCCUCACUCUCUCACUCACUCACUCACUCAUACACACACACACACACACAGACGGGUGACAUCAUUCCAUUUCAAAACCCCAACGGAAAAUUUGAUAUUUAAUGUGGACAGACUGAGACAGGUGAGAACAGAAAGGUGAGGAUGGAAAGGCAGGUGAGGACAGAUGGACGGUCAGGCAGGUGAGGACAGACAGGUGGGGACAGAUGAACAGAUGAGGACGGGCAAGUGAGGACGGACUGAGACAGGUGAGGACAGACAGGUGGGGACAGAUGAACAGAUGAGGACGGGCAAGUGAGGACGGACUGAGACAGGUGAGGACAGACCAGACACCCCUUUUCUCUCAGCUGGACAGGUAGGCUGGAAUAAAAUACAGCUGCUUCUUACUUUCUAUAAAUUGAACUAAAAGACAUUCUGUUAGCUUCCUGCUCAGCUUCCAGUCUGAAGGGGGGGAGAUGUUUGUUAACCUGCUUCACUACUCCAGCCGUUUGGGAACAGACUUUUGUUGGACUGGAGCAGAGCCCUUUAAAGAGAGAGUUGUGUCAGCGGGAGUCCAAAAUGCUUGAUCGUCACAUGGUUCAUGGAGACCGCAGAUAGUUCCCGGAAGUCCUUGCAAUUGAAAAUGAGCGAGAGAAACGACAAAACGGCGAUUUUAAGCAAUUUUUGGUAUUUUAUACAAUAAAUGCGUUCAUUUACAAUAUUUGUACAGCACACUGACACGUGUAUGUAGUUACAUUACUAUUUUUUAAAAAGGAGGAAAUAUAUUUUUGACAAUAACAGCUACAAUCACCUACCAUGUUGACAUUUUUUGGCCAACCUUACAUUGGAAAGUGUGUUCCUCUUGAAAACACGUUUAAAAUUCAGAUCAGAUUUAGCUUUCUAAUAUACCUUUUAGUAAUCCCAUGGUACCAGGGUUAAUUGAUCUUAAUGACUGAAUGUCUUUAUGACUUCAGAUAUUUCCUCCUGAGAUUCACCGUCACUUUCUGUCACUCGGACAAUCAAACACUCUGAGACCCACAGAUUAAAGGAGCUACUCUGAUAACAGCGCCUGUCAGGUAGACGUCCUGCAGGGUCUAAAAAAAGUCUAAAAUUUCAACAUUUAAGUUUUUGUCCUAGGUCUUACAUAAUUUUAAACGGGUAUUUAUUUUUCAACGUCCAUGUAACGCUGCCUCUAAUGCUCGUUGAAAUGGCCCUGCAGCACUCAAUAAUGUUUUUUCCUCCUGUGGUGGUGUAGUUCUUUCUGUCGCUAGUCCAAAUCAAUCCAAAUAUAAUUCGCUGUAUUACAACUACAAUGACUAACAGGCAGCUUCAUGUUAUUGCCCAAGUCUCUUUCGGAUUGUACCACAGAUAAAAACGAAUUUAUUCUUCAGCUAUGGGGAGUUGCAACCUUAUUGGUUCUUGGAUGGAAAAACAGAUCUUAAGGCUUAAAACUAGUCUCUAGCAAUGUAUUUGAAGCCUACUGUUGCUGCUUAAUGAAUGAGCGGCAGAAAGUGACGGUGAAAGUUAGCAGAGGAUAAGAUCAGCAUUAAGUUGUCGGUUACAGGUUACUCUGUUCUCUACUGUACAUCUUGAUAAUUAAAUUAAAAGAGAGGACGGUGUUGACCACAGAGGAGCUGAGGUUAGUAACGUUAAGCAAAUUAGGGAUGCAAACUAACGUUAGUCCUUUUAAGCUAAUGAGGAGAUUAUUCUUUUG